Molecule: regulatory RNA element, 43 nt
Organism: Loxodonta africana (African savanna elephant)
Lineage: Eukaryota; Metazoa; Chordata; Mammalia; Proboscidea; Elephantidae
Rfam family: Guanidine-II riboswitch aptamer (mini-ykkC)
About the family: Simpler in structure and has fewer highly conserved nucleotide positions than the ykkC-yxkD leader. Despite this each of its two stem-loop structures directly bind free guanidine.
Source: Rfam
CUGGGGACGACCCCAGAAAGACCGAAAGCUGGGGACGACCCCA